CUGCAGCCGAUUACAGAUUUGAAACAUCAUCUGUUUGUGUUUCCUCUGCUUGUAGUUGUAACAUGACCUGAGUGUGUGUGUUUGCAUUUUCCAGAUACACAUCAAGCUGAUACACAUGUUGUCUACUCUGACGUGAGGAUUCUCACUGCAGAGCAGUCAGCUGAUCCAGGUGUUGUGUAUUCAUCACUGAGAGCAGGAAGCUGAGGACACCCUGGGCCUGAUGGACCUUCAUCCUUCCUCUGCUCCUCUUCUUCAUGCUGCCUGUGCUUUAGUCUGUUUAAAAUACAGCUGUUAGCUGUCACCUGUGCACACAGUAACAUCUGCUCAGGAAGCAGGUUCAGUAACUCUGAGUUUCCUGUUGUCACCUGUGCAGGUUUCAGACUUGCACACAGACACUGUGUGCACCGUGCUGCACUCUAACACACUCUCACACUGAUGGAGGCUGCAGGCUCUUUAGCACAGAGGUCCUCUGACUGCCAAUCCACAGUCUCUGAUUGGUGUGGACCCGCUGCACCCCUGAGCCUGAGAUGAGCCGACAGCGCCCUCUGCUGGUCUCAGUUUGAGCUGCUGCUGAUCGUCCACAGACCAUCGUUGUUCAUUCCUUUUUCCUCCUACAUGCUCUCCUUCACACUCUUUACAUGUUUGUACUAAAGAUCAGGAGUCAUGGCUUUCUGGAUGUGUGUCAUCUGUUGCCAUGGUAACUGACCCUGUUCAAGUUAUCCUUCUUACUGGGACCAAAAGCUGAGUUUCCUUCAUCUGAGGAUUAACAACCUCAGAGUUUCACUCAAACCUGCUUCCUGUAAGAGAAACUGUGUGUGUGUGUGUGUGUGU
Astatotilapia calliptera (eastern happy) is the source of this 831-nucleotide long non-coding RNA. Lineage: Eukaryota; Metazoa; Chordata; Actinopteri; Cichliformes; Cichlidae. The record is from Ensembl.